RNAcentral lists this ribosomal RNA (1500 nucleotides) under Triticum aestivum (bread wheat). Its description in RNAcentral is "partial small subunit ribosomal RNA". Lineage: Eukaryota; Viridiplantae; Streptophyta; Magnoliopsida; Poales; Poaceae. The record is from RNAcentral.
AUGCCGCCGCCCUCGCUCCUCUCCCUCCUCCCCGCCGCGUCGGUCUCCGCGCGGACCCGCCGAGCCAAGCGCAGAGCCCCUGCCGCGAGCCUCCGCAUCCCCGUCCUCCUCAGCGCGCGAGCUCCCACGCCGCUCCGCUCCCUACCCGCCUCCUCCGAUGUGGUCGAGGGCGGGGGUGGAGGGGGAGGAGGCGAGGAGCUCCACCUGCUCGACAAGCCGUUCCCGUCCCCCUCCGCGCCGGAGGAGGACGAGCCCGAGCCGGAGGCCGCCCCGGCGCCGUCCACGGCCGAGGCGCUCGCGCCCUACCUCAACUUCUUCCAGGUGAAGGGCGCCGACGCCUCCGCCGCCGGGAAGCACGCCUCGGAGGACGGGGCCGUGUCGGCCGGGCGCGGGGUCAUCUACUACGACCCCAAGCCCGGGGACCUGGUCGUGGGCGUCGUCGUCGGGGGCGACGCGCGGGCAAUCGACGUCGACGUCGGCGCCGGAGGCGAGCCGGCGCUGAUGCUGACCAAGGAGGCGGCGCCUGCGUCCUCGGAGGAGUUCGCUUACCUGGCGUGCGACGUCGCGUCGGGCGGCGCGAGGGAGUUCGCCGCGGAAGGCAGGGUCGGCGUCGCGGCCGGCGGAGUGGGCGCGAGGGUUGGGAGGACCGGGAAGGAGAAAUGUGCGCCGGUGGUGGGCGUUGGCACGGUGGUGUUCGCCGAGGUCCUCGGCCGAACACUUGGUGGGCGGCCGCUGCUGUCUUCGCGAAGGCUGUUCCGGCGCGUCGCGUGGCACAGAGUGAGGCAGAUAAAGCAGCUAAAUGUACCUAUCAAGGUUAAAAUUUCUGAGUGGAAUGCUGGAGGCUUGUUGUCAAGAAUUGAGGGGCUCCGGGCCUUCCUACCUAAGCCUCAGAUGAUGACUAGACCAAGAAAUUUUACAGAUCUAAAGAACAAUGUUGGUCGACAGAUACAUGUCUGUAUUACAAAGAUUGACGAAAGGACUAACGAAUUAAUAAUUAGUGAAAAGGAGGCUUGGGCAAUGUUAUACCUUAAAGAAGGGGCUCUCUUGGAAGGGACAGUCCGCAAGUUGUUCCCAUAUGGUGCACAAAUUAGGAUUGGGGAGACUAACAGAAGUGGUUUGCUGCAUGACUCAAAGAUAACACACGGUCAGCUGAGAUCCGUCAGUGACGCGCUCAGCGUGGGCGAGAGAGUGAAAGCGCUUGUGAUCAAGUCGACGACGCCAGACAGAAUUGCUCUUAGUAUUAGGGACCUUGAGAGCGAGCCUGGACUGUUUCUCUCCAACAAAGAGAAGGUGUUCGCCGAGGCUGAAGAGAUGGCGCGAAGAUACCGGGAGCAAAUGCCGGCGACGCCUCGGUCUGGCGAGGGGCCCGACGGCGGCUACGACGAUACCGUCCCGUUCGAGGACGAAGCGGAGUCGUACGCCAACUGGAAGUGGCUGAAGUUCAUCAAGUCCGACAGAGCAGACUGUAACCCCAGUGUCACCGAAUCAUCGGGAUUGUAA